GGUCCAGUGGUGUAGUGGUUAUCACGUCUGCUUUACACGCAGAAGGCCGACGGUUCGAAUCCGUCUUGGAUCA
RNAcentral lists this transfer RNA (73 nucleotides) under Onchocerca flexuosa. It matches the Rfam family "tRNA". Rfam says of the family: Transfer RNA (tRNA) molecules are approximately 80 nucleotides in length. Their secondary structure includes four short double-helical elements and three loops (D, anti-codon, and T loops). The record is from Rfam by way of RNAcentral. Lineage: Eukaryota; Metazoa; Nematoda; Chromadorea; Rhabditida; Onchocercidae.